RNAcentral lists this RNase P RNA (335 nucleotides) under human gut metagenome. RNAcentral describes it as "Bacterial RNase P class A". It matches the Rfam family "Bacterial RNase P class A". Rfam says of the family: Ribonuclease P (RNase P) is a ubiquitous endoribonuclease, found in archaea, bacteria and eukarya as well as chloroplasts and mitochondria. The record is from RNAcentral.
CCGGACAGUCGCGUGGCUUUUGCCAUGAGGAAAGUCCGGGCUCCAUAGGGCAUGGAUGCCGGAUAACGUCCGGCGUAGGUAACUAUAGGGAAAGUGCAACAGAAACAUUCCGCCGAACGAGUGAUUUUCACUGCGUGGUAAGGUUGAAAUGGUGAGGUAAGAGCUCACCGGCGGCAUGGUAACAUGCCGGCCGUGUAAACCCCAUCCGGAGCAAGACCAAGAUAGAGCGUGAAAAGCGGCGGCCCGCUGCUGCUCGAGAGGUAGGUCGCAUGAGCAUGCCAGCAAUGGUAUGCCUAGAUAGAUGGCUGUCUAUUACAGAACCCGGCUUAUAGGAU